CAAAGAUUAAGCCAUGCAUGUCUCAGUACAAGCCAAAUUAAGGUGAAACCGCGAAAGGCUCAUUAAAUCAGUUAUGGUUCCUUAGAUCGUACCCACAUUUACUUGGAUAACUGUGGUAAUUCUAGAGCUAAUACAUGCAAACAGAGCUCCGACCGGAGACGGAAGGAGCGCUUUUAUUAGAUCAAAACCAAUCGGUGGCGGGUCUCCCGUCACCGUACACCUUGGUGACUCUGAAUAACUUGUUGCUGAUCGCACGGUCUCGCACCGGCGACGCAUCUUUCAAAUGUCUGCCUUAUCAACUGUCGAUGGUAGGUUCUGCGCCUACCAUGGUUGUAACGGGUAACGGGGAAUCAGGGUUCGAUUCCGGAGAGGGAGCCUGAGAAACGGCUACCACAUCCAAGGAAGGCAGCAGGCGCGCAAAUUACCCACUCCCGGCACGGGGAGGUAGUGACGAAAAAUAACGAUACGGGACUCAUCCGAGGCCCCGUAAUCGGAAUGAGUACACUCUAAACCCUUUAACGAGGAUCAAUUGGAGGGCAAGUCUGGUGCCAGCAGCCGCGGUAAUUCCAGCUCCAAUAGCGUAUAUUAAAGUUGUUGCGGUUAAAAAGCUCGUAGUCGAAUUUGUGUCCCGCGCCGCCGGUUCAUCGCUCGCGGUGUCAACUGGCGUGUCCGCGGGACGUCCUGCCGGUGGGCUUAGCCUCCCGUGGGCGGCCCAAUCUCAAUCCCACCGCGGUGCUCUUCACUGAGUGUCGAGGUGGGCCGGCACGUUUACUUUGAACAAAUUAGAGUGCUUAAAGCAGGCUAAAACAUCGCCUGAAUACUGUGUGCAUGGAAUAAUGGAAUAGGACCUCGGUUCUAUUUUGUUGGUUUUCGGAACCCCGAGGUAAUGAUUAAUAGGAACGGAUGGGGGCAUUCGUAUUGCGACGUUAGAGGUGAAAUUCUUG
RNAcentral lists this ribosomal RNA (944 nucleotides) under Lepanus monteithi. RNAcentral's name for it is "SSU rRNA". It matches the Rfam family "Eukaryotic small subunit ribosomal RNA", at positions 38 to 922 of the family's 1831-position model. The record is from RNAcentral. Lineage: Eukaryota; Metazoa; Arthropoda; Insecta; Coleoptera; Scarabaeidae.